AGGGGACGACGUCAAGUCAUCAUGGCCCUUACGCCCAGGGCGACACACGUGCUACAAUGGCGCAUACAGCGGGUAGCUACCUGGCAACAGGAUGCCAACCUCUAAAAGUGCGUCUCAGUUCGGAUUGGGGUCUGCAACCCGACCCCCAUGAAGCUGGAAUCGCUAGUAAUCGCGCAUCAGCCAUGGCGCGGUGAAUACGUUCCCGGACCUU
Molecule: ribosomal RNA, 211 nt
Filed under: uncultured Algoriphagus sp.
Lineage: Bacteria; Pseudomonadati; Bacteroidota; Cytophagia; Cytophagales; Cyclobacteriaceae
Description: partial 16S ribosomal RNA
Rfam family: Bacterial small subunit ribosomal RNA
Source: RNAcentral